Molecule: long non-coding RNA, 357 nt
Organism: Pomacea canaliculata
Lineage: Eukaryota; Metazoa; Mollusca; Gastropoda; Architaenioglossa; Ampullariidae
Exons: 3
Source: RefSeq, a predicted model, not a curated record
CUGGACUGAUGAUGUCAUGUCUUCUUACUGCUAUAACUAACAUCACGGAAGUAACUGCAAGUCUGAUACUGCUGAGAUGAUGAAAGGGAGUGGGAUGGCCUGUCCAGCUGCUUUGAUGUUUGCGUUUGUGAUUCUUAUUUUCACAGGUGUGGGUGCACAAGACUGCAUCAGCAAGAACAGAUAAAUUCCUGUGUUUCUCCUUACCAGGAGAGACUUCUUUCACUGACCGGCACUUUCUGUAACAAAGAACUUUUUACACAGGACAUAUGCAAUGAUGUAAAUGAGGCCGAUCUCUGCCUCACCAGCAAUAAUGUUCCACGAAAAUGCCUUGUAGAAAGUUUAGUGGCUCGAGCCAUG